UUUUAGCCCCGAUUGGAACGGCAUCCUUUUUCUUUUUUUUCAAGAAAAAAGAAAAAGAUACAGUGGAAAGCGGGACUGGUC
This 81-nucleotide small RNA is filed under the name Kaistella chaponensis. Its description in RNAcentral is "Chryseobacterium chaponense Flavo-1 RNA". It matches the Rfam family "Flavo-1 RNA". The record is from RNAcentral. Lineage: Bacteria; Pseudomonadati; Bacteroidota; Flavobacteriia; Flavobacteriales; Weeksellaceae.